Molecule: long non-coding RNA, 244 nt
Filed under: Zonotrichia albicollis (white-throated sparrow)
Lineage: Eukaryota; Metazoa; Chordata; Aves; Passeriformes; Passerellidae
Description: lncRNA (ENSZALG00000001123.1)
Source: RNAcentral
GCCCCGGUCCAUGUACUCCACCAGGAUGGAGACGUGCAGCGCCCGCGCCAGCGCGAUGAUGUGGAUGUGGUCGCUCUCCUUGCACAUGGGCUCCACCUCCUGCAGACAGACAGAUGGACAGAGAGUGGUCAGUGUGGUCAGUGAGGUCAGUGAGGUGUGAGGGACAGAGGGACAGCCAUGAUGUGGAUGUGGUCGCUCUCCUUGCACACGGGCACAUGCCCAGGUGCCUCAGGUGCCCCAGACA